RNAcentral lists this ribosomal RNA (200 nucleotides) under uncultured bacterium. RNAcentral describes it as "partial 16S ribosomal RNA". It matches the Rfam family "Bacterial small subunit ribosomal RNA", at positions 8 to 204 of the family's 1533-position model. The record is from RNAcentral.
AGAGUUUGAUCCUGGCUCAGAUUGAACGCUGGCGGCGUGCCUAAUACAUGCAAGUCGAGCGAACCUUUAGGAGCUUGCUCCUGAAGGUUAGCGGCGGACGGGUGAGUAACACGUGGGCAACCUGCCUGUAAGACUGGGAUAACUUCGGGAAACCGGAGCUAAUACCGGAUAAUUCUUUUUCUCUCAUGGGGAAAAGCUGA